CUGCCUCGCCACAAAACCUAUAGCGUGACGACAUCCUCCUGCAAAAAAAAGAAUCUCUUGAAGCUCGACGUCCUGCUGUGGCCUCACGAUCCCUGAGAACCAGACUCCAGCUUCGUACACACAGGAAGUUGCUGCUGAAGCCACAGUCACACACAAAGGACACAUUUCUGAUUUAGAGCAUCUCGUAGUGAAAUUCGGAGAAAUUGCAUAACGUGAUAAUCCACCGAUUUAGUAGUUAAAAUUUAAUAAAUGUAUUCCCCCCUUGCAACCAUGAAUGCAACCAAUGAGGAUUUGGCAGCUGUUGCCAAUGAAGAGCUAACUUAAGAAGCGAGCGGCUCUUUCCUGGUUGACUUACUGCUCAGCAAGGUGUUUGCCUGUGCAGGGAAAGGACCAGAUUACGUCUUGGGCGAUGAAUUCAUACAAGUUAUGAGAAAUCAUCAGCUGUGUGACUUGAGGCAGUCGACGAGUGUUAGCAUGGGCCAGGCUAACACUCAAUGCUAACAAAACUAUAAUUUAAUCAUCAUUGAGCUUUGGAGCAUCUCCACUCUUUAGGUUACGCAAGUCGUCGUGAAGAUCCACUGGUGGAUACAUACAUUGAUGACUUUAGAGUCUUAUGUUCUCGUCCCUCAAGGCCAAGUCGAGCAGAAGGACCGUCGACCACAGUCGCUCAGUCUGGUUCCUCUGAGGAAGGCGAGUGGCAAAAUCCACUCUUUCCAAACCUGCAGGCGCAGGUAAAGUGCUGAGGAUCUUUCCCGGAGCAAACCAACUAACGUUUUUUCUUCAAGCCUCGUGUCUUUAAUUUGUACUGGCAGACGAUGAAAUAUUUACAAGGAACCCUACAGGCAAUUACAUUAAAAGUGUGCGGUUAGACACUGCCUACCCAUCGGCGGGGCCCCCUCGGUGAGAAGCUGAGGCCGAUUUGGUGAAUGGUCGCAAAGUUUACAACGUCAGAUUUUACUCACUAUCAAUAAUUCAGAGCUGGAAGAGGCAGAGAGAGGAGGAAGGAGGGGAGGCGGCGGCGGCGAGGGGCAGGAGAAGGGAGCGACGUUAGGAGGACACGAUGCUCCAAACAGUUGCACCUGAAGGGCAAAGACGGAAAAAGAGAGGGAGACUUUGAAGGAGAGUUCAUCACAGGGAAACCCAACAGUUCCCACAACGAGCAUCACAAACUCCCUUUCAACAGGAAGAAACCUCGACCGGUUGGGGAGGGAGAUGAGGGAAAGAGAAGGAUGGAAAGAGGAGAGAGCGAGAACAGUUGUUGUUUUAAGCUCUAUCGAACUGAUUCUUACAUUAACAAUCACAAUACUGACAUGUUAUGA
RNAcentral lists this long non-coding RNA (1319 nucleotides) under Scophthalmus maximus (turbot). Its description in RNAcentral is "lncRNA (ENSSMAG00000030714.1)". The record is from RNAcentral. Lineage: Eukaryota; Metazoa; Chordata; Actinopteri; Pleuronectiformes; Scophthalmidae.